This is an RNA transcript of Tarenaya hassleriana, 1248 nucleotides long. RefSeq lists it as uncharacterized. Lineage: Eukaryota; Viridiplantae; Streptophyta; Magnoliopsida; Brassicales; Cleomaceae. The record is from RefSeq and is a predicted model, not a curated record. The transcript has 2 exons.
AGAGAGAUUGAGAACGUUUUAUGCUGCUCUCACGCUUGCUGAUACAGAAGAUGUAGCCGUCUCCGUUGAAACUAACUUGGGAACCCACAUCGCCAUGGCGGUUCCUCUAGAUAUCACCGCAGGAGAUUCCAAGCGCAAGCUAAAGUCCCAAUAAAGAAAAGAACUUUUUCUUAUGAUCUAUGUCAAACUUCCUCUUGCAAUUGUAAAGAUGAAAGCUUUGCCCCAUCAUCAUCAUCUUGUAGUUUCUCAACCAUCAGUCAGAAUAGUUCAGGUUAUGAUCCCUCGAGGACCGUUUUCAUAGUCUUUCGGCAUUGUAUUGAUACCAUCUGCAUCACUGCAUCAUGGGUUUUGCUUUCAAUCGUGUCUUGGUGCCUUGACUUUUUUAUCGUUUUCCAUAUGCUUCUGGACAUGUACUGUGCUUGCCUUGUUCUCUCAAGUAUGGAUGCACAUCUGCGUGAAAACAUUUUAAUUAUUACAGGAAACGUCGAGAAGACACAUGCGUCCUUCAAGUGUAUUGUCUGAUGUAGGUCAAAUCUCUUGCUGUCCAAAAGGCCUGGUUUGUUGUAUAAGCCUUACCAUUGAAGAAGGCACAAUCAGUUUAAGCAAUGGUAAAGGUGGAAAACAAGAAAUCUCUGCCCCGAACCUGUCCCAGAAACAGAUAUUUGAACCUGGAGAGCUACAAGAAAAGAGUAAUCUGCUCUCGAUUUCUGCAAUGCUUGAAUCUGGUGCAAGCCUGCCCUGACAAAAGAAGGGACUUCGACUCUGAAACCAUCACCUCCAUUGUCAGUAGCAGAAGCUCAGAGACAGUGACCUCACUCUCUCUCUCUCUUUUUUUUUGUUAAAACACUCUCUCUCUCUCUCUUGCGGUCUCAGAUCAGGUUUCAAGAAACUUUCAAGCUAAAACAUCAGCAAAUCAAUGUCGUGAGUUUGUGAACAAACUGAAACAGAGAGUGAAAGAGUAGAGACAGGUUCAGAUUUCUUCUACUGCUAUCAUCUAUUUGCAGAAGUGAGACUGCCAAGAAGAAGAAGCUUCUGCUCUGACUUCAAUCCAAGAUAGAUGCGUCUCUUUCCAUGUUUCUAACCUUUCAGAUACCAGAGACAGAGAGAGAGAGAGUUAGGACUGAGCCUCGAGCUCUCCCUCCGUGUACGCGAAUGUAUGUAUACGUGCAUGCGUAUGUACAUGUCUUGAUGAGACAUGCAGCAAGUGAUUCUUUUGUACAGUUUCUUGAGAAUGUCGAAAGAAUGAAA